GGAAGCAGCUUGCUGCUUUGCUGACGAGUGGCGGACGGGUGAGUAAUGUCUGGGAAACUGCCUGAUGGAGGGGGAUAACUACUGGAAACGGUGGCUAAUACCGCAUAACGUCGCAAGACCAAAGAGGGGGACCUUCGGGCCUCUUGCCAUCAGAUGUGCCCAGAUGGGAUUAGCUUGUUGGUGAGGUAACGGCUCACCAAGGCGACGAUCCCUAGCUGGUCUGAGAGGAUGACCAGCCACACUGGAACUGAGACACGGUCCAGACUCCUACGGGAGGCAGCAGUGGGGAAUAUUGCACAAUGGGCGCAAGCCUGAUGCAGCCAUGCCGCGUGUAUGAAGAAGGCCUUCGGGUUGUAAAGUACUUUCAGCGGGGAGG
Molecule: ribosomal RNA, 376 nt
Filed under: Salmonella enterica
Lineage: Bacteria; Pseudomonadati; Pseudomonadota; Gammaproteobacteria; Enterobacterales; Enterobacteriaceae
Also listed under: 2 other names
Description: bacterial SSU rRNA
Rfam family: Bacterial small subunit ribosomal RNA
Source: RNAcentral